GAUGAACGCUAGCGGCAGGCUUAACACAUGCAAGUCGAGGGGUAUUGGUUUUCGGACCAAGAGACCGGCGCACGGGUGAGUAACGCGUAUGCAACCUACCUUUAACUGAGGGAUAGCCCAGGGAAACUUGGAUUAAUACCUCAUAGUAUGUAUCAUUCGCAUGUUUGAUAUAUUAAAGUUCCGGCGGUAAUAAAUGGGCAUGCGUGACAUUAGCUAGAUGGUAAGGUAACGGCUUACCAUGGCAACGAUGUCUAGGGGUUCUAAAAGGAAGGUCCCCCACACUGGUACUGAGACACGGACCAGACUCCUACGGGAGGCAGCAGUGAGGAAUAUUGGUCAAUGGGCGCAAGCCUGAACCAGCCAUGCCGCGUGCAGGAAGACGGCCCUAUGGGUUGUAAACUGCUUUUCUGAAGGAAUAAACCUUUCUACGUGUAGAGAGCUGAAUGUACUUCAAGAAUAAGCACCGGCUAACUCCGUGCCAGCAGCCGCGGUAAUACGGAGGGUGCAAGCGUUAUCCGGAUUUAUUAGGUUUAAAGGGUCCGUAGGCGGGAAUCUAAGUCAGUGGUGAAAUCUUGCAGCUCAACUGUAAAAUUGCCAUUGAUACUGGAUUUCUUGAAUUAGUGUGAAGUGAUUAGAAUGUGUAGUGUACCGGUGAAAUGCAUAGAUAUUACACAGAACACCAAUUGCGAAGGCAGAUCACUAACACUAUAUUGACGCUGAGGGACGAAAGCGUGGGGAGCGAACAGGAUUAGAUACCCUGGUAGUCCACGCCGUAAACGAUGGAUACUAGCUGUUGGAGAGCAAUCUUCAGUGGCUAAGCGAAAGUGAUAAGUAUCCCACCUGGGGAGUACGUUCGCAAGAAUGAAACUCAAAGGAAUUGACGGGGGCCCGCACAAGCGGUGGAGCAUGUGGUUUAAUUCGAUGAUACGCGAGGAACCUUACCAGGGCUUAAAUGUAGAUUGACAGGGGUAGAAAUACCUUUUCCUUCGGGCAAUUUACAAGGUGCUGCAUGGUUGUCGUCAGCUCGUGCCGUGAGGUGUCAGGUUAAGUCCUAUAACGAGCGCAACCCCUAUUGUUAGUUGCCAGCGAGUCAUGUCGGGAACUCUAACAAGACUGCCAGUGCAAACUGUGAGGAAGGUGGGGAUGACGUCAAAUCAUCACGGCCCUUACGUCCUGGGCCACACACGUGCUACAAUGGCCGGUACAGAGAGCAGCCACUCCGCGAGGAGGAGCGAAUCUUCAAAACCGGUCUCAGUUCGGCUCGGAGUCUGCAACUCGACUCCGUGAAGCUGUAAUCGCUAGUAAUCGCAUAUCAGCCAUGAUGCGGUGAAUACGUUCCCGGGCCU
Molecule: ribosomal RNA, 1346 nt
Filed under: uncultured prokaryote
Description: partial 16S ribosomal RNA
Rfam family: Bacterial small subunit ribosomal RNA
Source: RNAcentral